GGGGGGCAUUAUGCGGGACCGUGAUAAGGGGACACCGAGUGCCAGCAUCAUAUGCUGGCUGUCCAGGUGUGUAAAAUACACCUGUUAGCAAGGGCCGGGCAAGACCGGUGCCAGCCGCCGCGGUAACACCGGCGGCCCGAGUGGUGAUCGUGAUUAUUGGGUCUAAAGGGUCCGUAGCCGGUUUGGUCGGUCCUCCGGGAAAUCUGAUAGCUCAACUAUUAGGCUUUCGGGGGAUACUGCCAGACUUGGAACCGGGAGAGGUAAGAGGUACUACAGGGGUAGGAGUGAAAUCUUGUAAUCC
This 301-nucleotide ribosomal RNA is filed under the name uncultured archaeon. RNAcentral's name for it is "bacterial SSU rRNA". It matches the Rfam family "Archaeal small subunit ribosomal RNA", at positions 342 to 648 of the family's 1478-position model. The record is from RNAcentral.